This 460-nucleotide ribosomal RNA is filed under the name uncultured bacterium. RNAcentral describes it as "partial 16S ribosomal RNA". It matches the Rfam family "Bacterial small subunit ribosomal RNA", at positions 338 to 795 of the family's 1533-position model. The record is from RNAcentral.
CCUACGGGGGGCUGCAGUGAGGAAUAUUGGUCAAUGGACGAGAGUCUGAACCAGCCAAGUAGCGUGAAGGAUGACUGCCCUAUGGGUUGUAAACUUCUUUUAUAAAGGAAUAAAACGAGGCACGUGUGCCUUUUUGCAUGUACUUUAUGAAUAAGGAUCGGCUAACUCCGUGCCAGCAGCCGCGGUAAUACGGAGGAUCCGAGCGUUAUCCGGAUUUAUUGGGUUUAAAGGGAGCGUAGAUGGGUUGUUAAGUCAGUUGUGAAAGUUUGCGGCUCAACCGUAAAAUUGCAAUUGAUACUGGUAGUCUUGAGUACAGUUGAGGUAGGCGGAAUUCGUGGUGUAGCGGUGAAAUGCUUAGAUAUCACGAAGAACCCCGAUUGCGAAGGCAGCUUACUAAACUGUGACUGACAUUGAUGCUCGAAAGUGUGGGUAUCAAACAGGAUUAGAUACCCCUGUAGUC